RNAcentral lists this ribosomal RNA (490 nucleotides) under uncultured bacterium. RNAcentral describes it as "bacterial SSU rRNA". It matches the Rfam family "Bacterial small subunit ribosomal RNA", at positions 215 to 697 of the family's 1533-position model. The record is from RNAcentral.
UCACUUUUGGAUGGUCCCGCGGCGUAUUAGCUAGAUGGUGGGGUAACGGCUCACCAUGGCAAUGAUACGUAGCCGACCUGAGAGGGUAAUCGGCCACAUUGGGACUGAGACACGGCCCAAACUCCUACGGGAGGCAGCAGUAGGGAAUCUUCCACAAUGGACGAAAGUCUGAUGGAGCAACGCCGCGUGAGUGAAGAAGGGUUUCAGCUCGUAAAACUCUGUUGUUAAAGAAGAACAUAUCUGAGAGUAACUGUUCAGGUAUUGACGGUAUUUAACCAGAAAGCCACGGCUAACUACGUGCCAGCAGCCGCGGUAAUACGUAGGUGGCAAGCGUUGUCCGGAUUUAUUGGGCGUAAAGCGAGCGCAGGCGGUUUUUUAAGUCUGAUGUGAAAGCCUUCGGCUCAACCGAAGAAGUGCAUCGGAAACUGGGAAACUUGAGUGCAGAAGAGGACAGUGGAACUCCAUGUGUAGCGGUGAAAUGCGUAGAUAU